AUUGAGCGCUGGCGGCAUGCCUUACACAUGCAAGUCGAACGGCAGCGGGGGAGAAGCUUGCUUUUCCUGCCGGCGAGUGGCGAACGGGUGAGUAAUACAUCGGAACGUGCCCUGUAGUGGGGGAUAACUAGUCGAAAGAUUAGCUAAUACCGCAUACGACCUGAGGGUGAAAGGGGGGGACCGCAAGGCCUCAUGCUAUAGGAGCGGCCGAGGUCUGAUUAGCUAGUUGGUGGGGUAAAGGCCUACCAAGGCGACGAUCAGUAGCUGGGCUGGGAGGACGAUCAGCCACACUGGGACUGAGACACGGCCCAGACUCCUACGGGAGGCAGCAGUGGGGAAUUUUGGACAAUGGGCGAAAGCCUGAUCCAGCAAUGCCGCGUGUGUGAAGAAGGCCUUCGGGUUGUAAAGCACUUUUGUCCGGAAAGAAAUGGCUCUGGUUAAUACCUGGGGUCGAUGACGGUACCGGAAGAAUAAGGACCGGCUAACUACGUGCCAGCCGCCGCAGUAA
This 508-nucleotide ribosomal RNA is filed under the name uncultured bacterium. Its description in RNAcentral is "partial 16S ribosomal RNA". It matches the Rfam family "Bacterial small subunit ribosomal RNA", at positions 29 to 523 of the family's 1533-position model. The record is from RNAcentral.